RNAcentral lists this ribosomal RNA (116 nucleotides) under Salmonella enterica subsp. enterica. The record is from RNAcentral. Lineage: Bacteria; Pseudomonadati; Pseudomonadota; Gammaproteobacteria; Enterobacterales; Enterobacteriaceae.
UGGCGGCACUAGCGCGGUGGUCCCACCUGACCCCAUGCCGAACUCAGAAGUGAAACGCCGUAGCGCCGGAUGGUAGUGUGGGGUCUCCCCAUGCGAGAGUAGGGAACUGCCAGGCA